Molecule: non-coding RNA, 27 nt
Filed under: Mus musculus (house mouse)
Lineage: Eukaryota; Metazoa; Chordata; Mammalia; Rodentia; Muridae
Source: RNAcentral
UUUAAGUUUGCAGAUCAUCCAUAGUAG